AAGUCGUAACAAGGUUUCCGUAGGUGAACCUGCGGAAGGAUCAUUAUUGAAUAGCUCGUAGUGUUGUGCUGGCCUUCUCGGAGGCACUGUGCACGCAUUGCAUUCUAUCUAUCCCUCUUUUUGUGAACCAGUGUAGGCUUUUUGGGCUUAGUAGUUUGAGUUGAGAAGGCUUUGGUCUUUUUGCUUGAGCGAAACGUUCAGAAGUCUAUGAUUUUAUAUAACCCUUUGUAUGUCUUCAGAAUGUUACUUUAUUGACGAAAGUCAGUAAAAACCUAUACAACUUUCAGCAACGGAUCUCUUGGCUCUC
RNAcentral lists this unclassified non-coding RNA (307 nucleotides) under air metagenome. RNAcentral describes it as "partial contains small subunit ribosomal RNA, internal transcribed spacer 1, and 5.8S ribosomal RNA". The stretch from base 1 to 46 matches the Rfam family "Eukaryotic small subunit ribosomal RNA", at positions 1786 to 1831 of the family's 1831-position model. The record is from RNAcentral.